GAUGAACGCUGGCGGCGUGCUUAACACAUGCAAGUCGAACGGGAAACCUUUUAUUGAAGCUUCGGCAGAUUUAGCUGGUUUCUAGUGGCGGACGGGUGAGUAACGCGUGGGUAACCUGCCUUAUACAGGGGGAUAACAACCAGAAAUGGUUGCUAAUACCGCAUAAGCGCACAGGACCGCAUGGUCCGGUGUGAAAAACUCCGGUGGUAUAAGAUGGACCCGCGUUGGAUUAGCUAGUUGGCAGGGUAACGGCCUACCAAGGCGACGAUCCAUAGCCGGCCUGAGAGGGUGAACGGCCACAUUGGGACUGAGACACGGCCCAGACUCCUACGGGAGGCAGCAGUGGGGAAUAUUGCACAAUGGGGGAAACCCUGAUGCAGCGACGCCGCGUGAAGGAAGAAGUAUCUCGGUAUGUAAACUUCUAUCAGCAGGGAAGAUAGUGACGGUACCUGACUAAGAAGCCCCGACUAACUACGUG
RNAcentral lists this ribosomal RNA (478 nucleotides) under uncultured bacterium. Its description in RNAcentral is "partial 16S ribosomal RNA". It matches the Rfam family "Bacterial small subunit ribosomal RNA", at positions 28 to 507 of the family's 1533-position model. The record is from RNAcentral.